GGAUGAACGCUGGCGGCGUGCCUAAUACAUGCAAGUCGAGCGAACAGACGAGGAGCUUGCUCCUCUGACGUUAGCGGCGGACGGGUGAGUAACACGUGGAUAACCUACCUAUAAGACUGGGAUAACUUCGGGAAACCGGAGCUAAUACCGGAUAAUAUAUUGAACCGCAUGGUUCAAUAGUGAAAGACGGUUUUGCUGUCACUUAUAGAUGGAUCCGCGCCGCAUUAGCUAGUUGGUAAGGUAACGGCUUACCAAGGCAACGAUGCGUAGCCGACCUGAGAGGGUGAUCGGCCACACUGGAACUGAGACACGGUCCAGACUCCUACGGGAGGCAGCAGUAGGGAAUCUUCCGCAAAGGGCGAAAGCCUGACGGAGCAACGCCGCGUGAGUGAUGAAGGUCUUCGGAUCGUAAAACUCUGUUAUUAGGGAAGAACAAAUGUGUAAGUAACUAUGCACGUCUUGACGGUACCUAAUCAGAAAGCCACGGCUAACUACGUG
This 498-nucleotide ribosomal RNA is filed under the name uncultured bacterium. Its description in RNAcentral is "partial 16S ribosomal RNA". It matches the Rfam family "Bacterial small subunit ribosomal RNA", at positions 27 to 507 of the family's 1533-position model. The record is from RNAcentral.